Molecule: ribosomal RNA, 497 nt
Filed under: uncultured bacterium
Lineage: Bacteria
Description: partial 16S ribosomal RNA
Rfam family: Bacterial small subunit ribosomal RNA
Source: RNAcentral
GAUGAACGCUGGCGGCGUGCCUAAUACAUGCAAGUCGAGCGAACAGACGAGGAUCUUGCUCCUCUGACGUUAGCGGCGGACUGGUGAGUAACACGUGGAUAACCUACCUAUAAGACUGGGAUAACUUCGGGAAACCGUAGCUAAUACCGGAUAAUAUAUUUAACCGCAUGUUUCAAUAGUGAAAGACGUUUUUUCUGUCACUUAUAGAUGGAUCCUCGACGCAUUAGCUAGUUGGUAAGGUAACGGCUUACCAAGGCAACGAUGCGUAGCCGACCUGAGAGGGUGAUCGGCCACACUGGAACUGAGACACGGACCAGACUCCUACGGGAGGCAGCAGUAGGGAAUAUUCCGCAAUGGGCGAAAGCAUGACGGAGCAACGCCGCGUGAGUGAUGAAGGUCUUCGGAUCGUAAAACUCUGUUAUUAGGGAAGAACAAAUGUGUAAGUAACUAUGCACGUAUUGACGGUACCUAAUCAGAAAGCCACGGCUAACUACGUG